GUGCACCAGGCGAGAAACCUCCGCAAUGCUCGAAAGAGCGACGGGGGGACUCCAAGUGCCUACGCUUUGCGUAGGCUUUUCCCAAGCCUAAAAAAGCUUGGGGAAUAAGGGCUGGGUAAGACGGGUGCCAGCCGCCGCGGUAAUACCCGCAGCCCGAGUGGUGGCCGCUUUUAUUGGGCCUAAAGCGUCCGUAGCCGGUCUGGUAAAUGCCUGGGUAAAAUCGUCUGGCUCAACCAGACGAAUUCCGGGUAGACUGCCAGACUAGGGACCGGAGGAAGGAGAGGGUACUCCGGGGGUAGGGGUGAAAUCCUGUAAUCCUCGGAGGACCACCGGUGGCGAAGGCGCUCUCCUAGGACGGGUCCGACGGUGAGGGACGAAAGCCAGGGGAGCAAACCGGAUUAGAUACCCCGGUAGU
RNAcentral lists this ribosomal RNA (415 nucleotides) under uncultured microorganism. RNAcentral's name for it is "bacterial SSU rRNA". It matches the Rfam family "Archaeal small subunit ribosomal RNA", at positions 330 to 745 of the family's 1478-position model. The record is from RNAcentral.